This 400-nucleotide ribosomal RNA is filed under the name uncultured bacterium. RNAcentral describes it as "bacterial SSU rRNA". It matches the Rfam family "Bacterial small subunit ribosomal RNA", at positions 43 to 432 of the family's 1533-position model. The record is from RNAcentral.
CAGGCCUAACCAUGCAGGUCGAACGAGGGCCCGAAGCUUGCUUCGGUGACCCGAGUGGCAACGGGCGAGUAACACGUGACCAACCUGUCCUGGGGCGAGGGACAACCCGGGAAACCUGGGCUAAUACCGCAUGAUGUCACACUUCCGCAUGGUCGUGGACCAAAGGGGGCCUCUGCUUGCAUGCUCCCGCCCGAGGGGGGGGUCGCACGUAUCAGCUCGUUGGUGGGGUAACGGCCUACCAAGGCUACGACGCGUGCGGAUCUGAGAGGAUGAUCCGUCACAUUGGGACUGAGAUACGGCCCAGCUCCUACGGGAGGCAGCAGUGGGGAAUAUUGCGCAAUGGGCGAAAGCCUACGCAGCGACGCCGGGUGUGGGAGGAAGCCUUUCGGGGUGUAAACCA